AGAGGUGUAGUUCCGUGGUAGAAUGCAGCUUAGCAUGCUUGAGGCCCUGGGUUUGAUCUCCAGCAACACAC
RNAcentral lists this transfer RNA (71 nucleotides) under Marmota monax (woodchuck). RNAcentral describes it as "tRNA.Ala". The record is from RNAcentral. Lineage: Eukaryota; Metazoa; Chordata; Mammalia; Rodentia; Sciuridae.